CGGACAGUGUCUGGUGGGUAGUUUGACUGGGGCGGUCUCCUCCUAAAGAGUAACGGAGGAGCACGAAGGUUGGCUAAUCCUGGUCGGACAUCAGGAGGUUAGUGCAAUGGCAUAAGCCAGCUUGACUGCGAGCGUGACGGCGCGAGCAGGUGCGAAAGCAGGUCAUAGUGAUCCGGUGGUUCUGAAUGGAAGGGCCAUCGCUCAACGGAUAAAAGGUACUCCGGGGAUAACAGGCUGAUACCGCCCAAGAGUUCAUAUCGACGGCGGUGUUUGGCACCUCGAUGUCGGCUCAUCACAUCCUGGGGCUGAAGUAGGUCCCAAGGGUAUGGCUGUUCGCCAUUUAAAGUGGUACGCGAGCUGGGUUUAGAACGUCGUGAGACAGUUCGGUCCCUAUCUGCCGUGGGCGCUGGAGAACUGAGGGGGGCUGCUCCUAGUACGAGAGGACCGGAGUGGACGCAUCACUGGUGUUCGGGUUGUCAUGCCAAUGGCACUGCCCGGUAGCUAAAUGCGGAAGAGAUAAGUGCUGAAAGCAUCUAAGCACGAAACUUGCCCCGAGAUGAGUUCUCCCUGAGACUUAGAGUCUCCUGAAGGAACGUUGAAGACGACGACGUUGAUAGGCCGGGUGUGUAAGCGCAGCGAUGCGUUGAGCUAACCGGUACUAAUGAACCGUGAGGCUUAACCUUACAACGCCGAAG
This 695-nucleotide ribosomal RNA is filed under the name Salmonella enterica subsp. enterica serovar Thompson. Its description in RNAcentral is "partial 23S ribosomal RNA". It matches the Rfam family "Bacterial large subunit ribosomal RNA", at positions 2248 to 2925 of the family's 2925-position model. Lineage: Bacteria; Pseudomonadati; Pseudomonadota; Gammaproteobacteria; Enterobacterales; Enterobacteriaceae. RNAcentral also lists the same sequence under 5 other names. The record is from RNAcentral.